UACGGAGGGGGCGAGCGUUAUUCGGAAUUAUUGGGCGUAAAGGGCGCGUAGGCGGCCUUGUAAGUCAAAGGUGAAAUCCCUCGGCUCAACUGAGGAACUGCCUUUGAAACUGCAAGGCUUGAGGCCGGGAGGGGGUAGCGGAAUUCCCAAUGUAGCGGUGAAAUGCGUAGAUAUUGGGAGGAACACCAGUGGCGAAGGCGGCUACCUGGACCGGUUCUGACGCUGAGGCGCGAAAGCGUGGGGAGCGAACAGG
RNAcentral lists this ribosomal RNA (253 nucleotides) under uncultured bacterium. RNAcentral describes it as "partial 16S ribosomal RNA". It matches the Rfam family "Bacterial small subunit ribosomal RNA", at positions 524 to 776 of the family's 1533-position model. The record is from RNAcentral.